Molecule: ribosomal RNA, 465 nt
Filed under: Vreelandella stevensii
Lineage: Bacteria; Pseudomonadati; Pseudomonadota; Gammaproteobacteria; Oceanospirillales; Halomonadaceae
Description: partial 16S ribosomal RNA
Rfam family: Bacterial small subunit ribosomal RNA
Source: RNAcentral
CCUACGGGAGGCAGCAGUGGGGAAUAUUGGACAAUGGGCGAAAGCCUGAUCCAGCCAUGCCGCGUGUGUGAAGAAGGCCUUCGGGUUGUAAAGCACUUUCAGUUGGGAAGAAAGCCUUUGGGCUAAUACCCUCGUGGAUGGACAUCACCCACAGAAGAAGCACCGGCUAACUCCGUGCCAGCAGCCGCGGUAAUACGGAGGGUGCGAGCGUUAAUCGGAAUUACUGGGCGUAAAGCGCGCGUAGGCGGUCUGAUAAGCCGGUUGUGAAAGCCCCGGGCUCAACCUGGGAACGGCAUCCGAAACUGUCAGGCUAGAGUGCAGGAGAGGAAGGUAGAAUUCCCGGUGUAGCGGUGAAAUGCGUAGAGAUCGGGAGGAAUACCAGUGGCGAAGGCGGCCAUCUGGACUGACACUGACGCUGAGGUGCGAAAGCGUGGGUAGCAAACAGGAUUAGAUACCCUAGUAGUC